GCCUGGUCCCCAAGGGCAUCUUAUCUGCCUCAACAGCUUGUAAACUCAGAGGCACAGCCCCUGCCUGGUGCCAGCCUGCAGGAAACAGGCCCUGUGCCCAGAGGCAGCGGCGGAGCCCACCCACUCACAGGCCCUGCCCGGCCCACAGCCUGCCACACGCCCUCCUGGGGGCCUGCCCGGACGUGUCCGCUGCCCACUCUUCAGGCCCCCAGGCCCUGGACCCCACUCCUCCUCCCCCUCCCCUCCCGAGAGCCUGCGAUCCACCCGGGCAGCGCCCGGUCCUGCUUGGCCCUUGGCUGCAGACUCACGGGACCCAGUGCUGGAGCUCAGGCGUGUUUAUUCCCGUACGAAUCAUUACAAAACCAAGAUGGGGCAGUCGCCGCCCCCAGCACCCCUGUGCACCCGCUUCCAGCCCCGCCCUUUCAGGCUCUGGCAGAGCAGGGCGCACACCCGCCCGCCCACAGAGCCCCGACUUCAGUAAAGUGCCUGAUUAGGGCCAGGAGCCAGGGACACAGCUCCUGGCUCCCUAGAGCCGUCCCAGGCCUGGCGCCAGGGAGAUCCUCGGAAGCCCCUGUCAGCCUCACAUGGAGACCCCGUGGAACCCCAGUUGGUCAGGGUCCCCCUGUCUCAACUCCAAAGGCUUCUCCGACAGGUGGAAAAGAGAGGCCUGGCCCUUUAAGAGCCAAGUUCUCCGCAGCUGGGCUGAGGGGCCCAGAAGACUGUUUCAAAGUUUGUCCCCUCCCUGUGGAGUCCCCCAAGCCUGGGAAGUUUACACAGAAAUUCCUGAAAGUAUUCCUCAAGGAGGCGGUGAGAGGCACCCCAGGUCCCCCCUGCCACCACUGGGGGCUCAGCAGUGGCUCGGGGGGCGGGGCUCCGGUCCCAGGGAAAAUGGACCCGGCGGGACUCAGUGGGGGAGGAGGGUCUCCGGGCCCGCAGAAGCUGCCCGGGGAAGGGGCUUAUCCAACACGGCCCAGGACACAGGAGCCAGGAGCUGGACGGCAGCCUCUGAGCUCUGGGGCCUCCCCACAGGCUCCUCCCUCCUCGGGAGCCCGGGGCUCUGACCCCUGCAACCCCUCCGGAUGCUGGCACUUGAAGGGGCAACACAAAACUCCCUGCUCCCUGGGACAGGACCCCCAGUGUCCCAGCCACAAACCAAGAGACCUGGGGGCCAUUCUUGGGGCUCUGAACCAAGGCCUCAUGGGAAAGGCUGUGUCUGCCUCAGAUCGACUCAGAAGCACCCCAAAACCCUGA
Molecule: long non-coding RNA, 1251 nt
Filed under: Oryctolagus cuniculus (rabbit)
Lineage: Eukaryota; Metazoa; Chordata; Mammalia; Lagomorpha; Leporidae
Description: lncRNA (ENSOCUG00000036161.1)
Source: RNAcentral